AUAAUUAGUAUGGUUUCUUAUAUUUGUAGGAAUGAUAUUGCUAAUGUGUAUGUUGAAAAUAUAAUUCAUGAAUUUGGAAGUGAGACAUUUGUUUGGAAGAUUGUAAGUUGGGUUGUGGUGAUUGAAUUUGAAAGAAGGAAAUAAGUUGUUAUUGUUCUUGUUGAAUUUGGAAGGUGUCGGGUGAAGUAGUGUGUUGAUUGAGUCGUUUUGAAUGUUAUGUGAAUUGAAUUUAAUAAAAACGAAAUGUCAUUGAAUUGUAUGACAAAGGUUGUUAAUGUUAGAAUGCGUCUUGAAUUGAUUGUUGAUGUUGUUGGUAUGAUUGAUGGUAUUGUUGUUGAUAGUUUGGCCGAGUUGAAUUCUCGAAUUGUUGAUUGAUGAUUUGGGCCAAGUUAGAUUCUCAGGGAUGGUGUAUUUACAAGGGAGAUCUUUGCCGAAAUUUUGGCAGAUCAUAAGUGAAUUUAUUUGAAAGACUAAGACAAGUGUGUGUAACGAUGAAUCUAAUGAUUGUGUCAAUCUUCUUGAUUGUAGACUAGCAAUAGUGAGCUUGGACAAUUAAGCGUAGCUAAUAGGACGUGGAGCAGGUAUACCCAAAUGAGCAAAAGCUAUUAUAGAAGAUGUUCCAGCGGAGUUGACAAGCUCCAUUUGCUCUGGAGUGUUGCCGGGUCAGAGUACUAUGCUAUGAUGUCUUGUUCGAAGUUAGAGACUUUGCAGACAGAGUCGUGGGUGUAGUAUGUCAAUCUUGAAAGCGGCUUCACCAGCCGAUGUGUCUUUAUAUUUUAUGUUACAAACUCCACGUGACUACAGAUUUUGUUUGACUUGAGAACAACGAAA
Lycium ferocissimum is the source of this 831-nucleotide long non-coding RNA. RefSeq lists it as uncharacterized. The transcript has 2 exons. The record is from RefSeq and is a predicted model, not a curated record. Lineage: Eukaryota; Viridiplantae; Streptophyta; Magnoliopsida; Solanales; Solanaceae.